ACUUAAAUUGUUGUAUCUCUGCCCCUGACACACAGUUUCUUUUCACUUUGCAGGCAAAGCUGUCUGUCUCCGGUUGCUUGACAUUGACAUAUGCACACCUCCAUUUCCUCUUAACAGACUUUCCUCUGUUAAGGCCUACAGAUGCACUGGUCUGUCUGUUGGCAUGAUGUUUUGAUGAAAGAAAAAGAAAGGAGAGAAAGCAACUUUUUUAAAAAUAAAGACACAUGCUGAAGAACCCUAACCCUGGUGCAAAUCCUGAAGAUGCAUGCUGGCAGCAUGCAUUGUUCCUGUAAUAGAAAGGGAAAAUGCAGCCUUCUGCUUUCCUGGAGUUCACAAAGGCACAAUGUAUAUGCUUAAGGGGGCACUCUGCUGACUACUUUUUGGAAGUUUCUUACGCUUUCUGGCUGGUAAGUCAGACCACAUCUGGUUGGUGAACUGGAGACUCUAGGUGCAUCUAGCAAUAGAUUUGCAACGAGAGAGCAAAACAGGAGAAGCACCACUGGAUUAUUUGGCUGUUAUGUGCCAGAGUUGCUGCUGGGAGCACAUAUAUUAGCUGAGGGGAAAAGAGGCAGGAAGUACUUUCCCUCAUCUUCUCAGCAAUUUCCAAGGCUGGCGUGAGGUUUGUGUGUGUGCUUAAAAUGUGUUUGUCUUCUGUUUUGUGAAUACUUUAAAUCCAGUUCUUAUGAUCUCAACUUUGAUUUGUGUAGAAGUCUUUUGAGUUCCUACCUUGAUAGAUCAGAAUUUUUAAUCUAGGUCUAGAUUUUCCUUGGAAAAAUCUAGAGGAUACAAGGAGAAUAUGCCCCCUUUCUGACUAAGUGUGCUCAGACUCACCUUUUACAACAGCUCAUACCUUGCAGAGGAGAAAUUAUGACAAAUCUGUGCAUAGUGCAAACUGAUGAUGGGCCAUUUUGAGGGUCUUUAAAAACUCUUACUUCCAGAAAUAAAAUCUUUUUCUAUUAAAAAAUCUAAACUUUUUCUGGAAAAAUCAUGUUACCUAUCAUUUGGAAUAUGGUAUCAAUUCUUUUCUGUUCCACUUCCCAAAUAUCUCUCAUCAUCUCUCCAAUCCACUUUUACCAAUGCACAUUCUGCUCUCUUAGCGUGUAUUUUAUUUCUAGAAUCCAUGCAAGGGGAAGCUGGGGGCAGUGCUGAGUUAUACUGAGAAGACAGAUCUGUAAGAAUCUCGAUAAAUUUGCAGUAGCUGCAAGGUAGAAAUCACUGCUGACAUUAAAUUUGGGUUUUGAAACAGGAUAGGGAUGGAAUCAAUAUGCAAAAAAUUAAGUGAAUGACUGGAUUAACUAAUUACUGUGAUUAUCUUGCUGCCUCAUGAUUACAGUGAUGGUUGCUGAAAGGCAGCUAGAAAUUACAAGGUUCAGAAUGAGAUCUCACAGGAUCUCCCUUUGAAGCUCCUGCUAUGCCUGUGAGAUAUUUGGUACUGACUUCACUGAUCGUAUAAACAGAAUGUCCUAAUAUGUACAUUUCCAUUUUCUAUUAAAAUAAAUUUGGUCAUAGAGUGAGCCACUCUGAUUACUAGCUGGUGCCAGGCAAAAUGAAUGUUGUAUUAGGAGCAACCAUGUUUUCCUGAGUUUUUUUUCUUCUUUUCAUUUAUAUAUAAUGAUGAAUUGUACCCAAAUAGUAAGAGAAAGACUUGUAAUUUUGGGAUUUUUUUGGUGGUAAUAGAAUAGAUAUAUUCAAUACAUCUUGAGUAUAAUACAGUUUUAAAAAGCUUCUCAUUUCUUUUCCAUCCCUUCCCUGUGAAGGGAUCAUUUUAUUUAAUGCAGUAGGCUGGGCCAUUUGUGCAGUAGGAUUAUGAAAUGAUGAAUCUCUUUCUCUGGGUGAGCUUCUACUUGACAAAUAGUGUAUAGUCAUUAAUUCACCCUAACUCCUUUACCAGGCAUCCAGAUUUAUCCAGUACUCACUAUUGUCAUAUAUUUCUGCAGAGCACACAGAUCGAUCUGGAUUGGAGCAGGUUAACGACUAGCUCCAACUCUGUAAUAUCCUAACUUUACAGCAGAAGUAUGACUAAUGGGAACAGCCAGUCAUUCACUUUCUUUACCUGUAGAGGACUUGUUUUCCAGAUCUAAAUAAACUUAAUCUCAUCUUUACCAUUAAACUCUGAGCUCUGCCUUAUCUCCAGUGAAGUCAGUGCAACAGUGUCCAAGACUUGUAGUAUAAGCUCUUUGCCUUUGGUUUGACCUUACAAAAGGAUUCAGACCCUUGUAUUUACACAAAGCUUUCUUCAGUCUUUCACUUCUCAAGGGUCAGAAUUAUUUCUUUUCUUUUUUUUUUAAUGGUGUUUAUUCAGUGGUUUUUUUUGUAGUCUUUGGUAGGAGUUGAGUAUGUUCUUUUUAAGAGGAACUGUAGAACCGAUUCGCAUUUUGGUUGACUGUCUGGACUGAAAGCUCCACAAGCAUAGGCUGCCUUCAGUAUAAACGUUAUGUUUUGAUUUUUGCCUGAAAAGGAACACCAUUUGAACACCUUUUCAGCUGUUGUCCUCAACUGUAGUUCCAGCAUGAAGAGGAAAUGUGGUGAUUUGAAAAGAACUGAAAAGGUACUAAAAACGUUGUUGUAAGGCUUGUAAGGGAGUUGUAAAUAAUCGUUGUUGAUGUGUCUCCUGAUAAGAAAAAGAUAAGAAAAAGAUUUAUGAGAGCAUUAUUUUUUCUGUGAUAACUCCUUUUUGAGUGAUCUUCCAUUAAAAUAUUGUCUUUCUGCUGAAAUCUGUACAGGUCUCACAUUAAACUAAAUUAAUAUUGCUACACAUCAUAGAAACAAAAUUGUACAAAAGAAAAAUGAGUAAUCCAUGACUAAGAAUGGCAAAGGUGGAGCAUUUUAUAUCUGCAUCACAAACAACUGACAAUGUCAAU
This is a non-coding RNA of Struthio camelus australis, 2861 nucleotides long. The record is from RefSeq and is a predicted model, not a curated record. Lineage: Eukaryota; Metazoa; Chordata; Aves; Struthioniformes; Struthionidae.